RNAcentral lists this ribosomal RNA (571 nucleotides) under Aspergillus fumigatus. RNAcentral describes it as "eukaryotic LSU rRNA". The stretch from base 207 to 360 matches the Rfam family "5.8S ribosomal RNA". Lineage: Eukaryota; Fungi; Ascomycota; Eurotiomycetes; Eurotiales; Aspergillaceae. The record is from RNAcentral.
GAACCUGCGGAAGGAUCAUUACCGAGUGAGGGCCCUCUGGGUCCAACCUCCCACCCGUGUCUAUCGUACCUUGUUGCUUCGGCGGGCCCGCCGUUUCGACGGCCGCCGGGGAGGCCUUGCGCCCCCGGGCCCGCGCCCGCCGAAGACCCCAACAUGAACGCUGUUCUGAAAGUAUGCAGUCUGAGUUGAUUAUCGUAAUCAGUUAAAACUUUCAACAACGGAUCUCUUGGUUCCGGCAUCGAUGAAGAACGCAGCGAAAUGCGAUAAGUAAUGUGAAUUGCAGAAUUCAGUGAAUCAUCGAGUCUUUGAACGCACAUUGCGCCCCCUGGUAUUCCGGGGGGCAUGCCUGUCCGAGCGUCAUUGCUGCCCUCAAGCACGGCUUGUGUGUUGGGCCCCCGUCCCCCUCUCCCGGGGGACGGGCCCGAAAGGCAGCGGCGGCACCGCGUCCGGUCCUCGAGCGUAUGGGGCUUUGUCACCUGCUCUGUAAGCCCGGCCGGCGCCAGCCGACACCCAACUUUAUUUUUCUAAGGUUGACCUCGGAUCAGGUAGGGAUACCCGCUGAACUUAAGCA